GUAUAGUACCCGGCUAAUAACUGAAGAGCCAACCAAAGCUCAGAAGCUACCUGUUCCCAUUGCAGGUGCGGAGCCUGAAUUUCUGCAGGACAAGGACCAUCACUAAGUAGAUUCAAUCUCUUUGCACAUGGAGGGGAGUCACCAAUCGACAGGAUGGAUACAUUUCAUCACACUGACAUAUGGUUUGCUCUGUGCUUCUUGGACACUGAAGAAAACCUGUAAUUAAGAGUUGUCCAUGGCAGAGAAUCCACAUACAGGUGCAGAUCCUCAGCUAGUAUCUAUUGUCAGAACGUCAUUGAUCCUCAGCUGAUGUCCAUUGUCAUAGCUCCAUUGACUUCAGCGGAGUUAUGACCAUUCACAUCAGGUAAGGACCUGCCCCAGUGUUUCCAAAAUGCUG
RNAcentral lists this long non-coding RNA (397 nucleotides) under Chrysemys picta bellii (western painted turtle). RNAcentral describes it as "lncRNA (ENSCPBG00000015624.1)". The record is from RNAcentral. Lineage: Eukaryota; Metazoa; Chordata; Testudines; Emydidae.